CAGAAUAGUGGGGUAUUGCUGUGACAGACCUGACUGUGUUGUUUUGAGGAGGACUGUGGAAGGACUUUGGAGCUUUGGGCUGGAAAAGCCAUUGGCUGCUGAGAGCUCAGUGAGCCGUUCUCAGGAGUUUGGAAGAUAAGAAUCUUGAGAGAUGGAGGCCUGGCUUGUGACGUUUCAGAGGGAAACAAAGACUCUAGUUAACCUUUUGUGUGAAGCAUCAGUGGUUCUGGUCAGCUGUGAUUAAGACGAGGCCAGCAUCACUGAGGUGAAAUCUGGGAAAUGUUUCCUUGGGGUCAGCACACAGAGGCUGUGCUCCAGCGGUGGUCAAGGUUGUACCUCCUGAUGGCAGCUGAAUUUGGAAGUGUGAGAGUCACCCACCCAGGUGGUGCUGGUUUUGAAAGCAUGAAGGGGUCAUGGAGAGCGGCUGAGGCUUGUCACUGCGUGGCAGAACUGGAGUCCCUGGAGUGGAGUCCCUAGCCUGUUGGUGAAAAUGUAGCCCAGAUACAGAAGAAGACUCCACUAUUUUGGAGACGCCAGUACCAAAGAACAGCAGCAGCCUGGCAUGGAUCCAGCUGACACCUACAAUACAAGCUGUGUGUGCUGCAGAGGGCGGAGCCAGAGAAGUGACGCAAGCCCCUUGGAGGAGCCCAGAAGAUGAAACUGAGCGCCGCAUCUCUGUCCCUUCCCGCUGACCUCCGUUAUUCACCGUUAUUCCCGGCUGCUUUCUGGUGUAAGCUCACCCCAGCAUUUGGAUUCUCCAGAGCAGAGUCCAUCAAUCUCUCGUCAGCUUGCCUUUCCAAGAGAUGAAACUUCCCACAUGUCUGCAUGGCGGGCCGACACGUCCCACACGUCUGUAUUCCGGUGCCUGCAGUUUGACCAUUUUUCUUAGGACUUAUCUCUUGAGACUCCUCUUUCUUGUUGUGUAUGCAGACAUUUGUUAUUAUUAGUAAGCAUGGUCACUGGGGCUUGGAUUCUGCUCUGGUUUACAUGUCACUAUACAACAGACCUGACUGAACACCACCAGGUGCCCUGCUGGCAGGCCACAGAGAUGGCAUCUCUUAGGACGUUUGGGGUCUGGGCCAGCUCUCUAGACAAAAAUGGCUCACAUUCUUUCCCUAAGACCUCCCUAGUCACCCCAUCAUGACUGCUUCAUUCUCCUGUUCAAGGCACUGGUCCCCCAUCAAGUCCACGGGUGAGCAGUACCUGGCUAAGUAUCUGGUUCUGGACACAGCUCCUCUUGGUCUGAGACAUUUUGAGAAAAGAAAAGAGGUUAUCUUCCACCCCUUCCAGUACAGAGCUGUGACAGGAAUAGGAGACUCUCUGCAGACACCCUUAGGGAACACUGGUACCCCAGAUUCUUGAUUGGGUUCCCCUCAGCCCCCGAGAUCCUUUUCCUGCCUUUCUGUUCUGUCCCUGAGCUCAAUGGACCUCCUGGGCCAUACUACUUUCAUAGGAAAUAGCUAGAAUCUGAGCCAAGUUUGAGGUGUCCGAGACCUGUGACUUAGUGCAUCUGCUCCUUCAGUCUGCACACGGACAUCUGAGGAAAGUGUCACCCAACAACUCUGUCCUGUCUGUAGCCUUGCUGUGACCUGCUCUAGGGUCUGGACUUCAGGAUGCUGUUUUUAUAGUGCUUCUGGGAAGCAGACCUGCGGGUAUCACUAGAGAGCUGUGAACUGGAUGGCCUCCAGGCAGGGCCCUGGAUAUUUCUGGGCCAGUCUUAGUCUGGUUUUGCUGCUAUAACAAAACACCAGGAACCGGGUAGUUUACAGAGCACGUGGACACCUCCCCAGUUUGGAGGCUACAAAUCUGAGACCAAGGUAUGGCAUCUGGUGAGAGUCAGCUUGCUGUGUCCUCAGGUGGCAGAAGAUGGCGGGGAGAGAGAUAAAUACUGUGUCCUCACAUUGUGGAAAGUAGGGGGUGAAAGGGAAGAGACAUUCUAUCUGAGAUGACGGGGCUAAAGAUUGGAGGAGAGAAUACACCCCUUUUGCUGCCUUUACAGCGGUGCCAAGUCCUCUCCAGUCUAAUUCUGAGAGUCUGCCUGCAAAACCGCUGUCAGGAUUGUUUCUCCCCAAUCCUGCUAUGAUGGGGACAUGGGGGCUGUUACAGAAGCUUCCCAAUAUAACUAGGGUGUUAGUUGGCUCCAUCUUUACUACGAGUCCAUUCUGCCCAUUCGGUGGCUGGAAUCUUCAUCACACUCCACACUGAGAUGACAGCGAUGGCCAUGCCAGAAAAGGGGACUGGUCCCUCGCUGCCCUGAAGCAAGUCCCUGGCUGGCAAAGUGCCUUGGUCUGCUGACUCCUGAGUGGACUGUAUUAUAGUUCCUGGCUGCCUCUUGUCAUAUUUUCCAGGGGCGGAGAAGGUUUAUAGGAGGAAGAAAGCCAGAUUGUAGCCCCCACCUUGCUUUGAGAUUUUUGUUCCAGAAUCUCCAGUCAGUGUUUUCCAGAAAUGUCUGGCUGGCACCACUGUGGGGAAGCUGGCUGUUGAGGAAGCCAGGGAGCCGCCUUCAGUACUGAGAUGAACAGGGUGAGUCGGGCACAGCAAUAAACGUGAAGGCCUCAGCGCCUCAGUGUCGCUAAAAACAGCAGUCCAUGUGUGCAUUGGAAAGACACUCCAAAUUCAACCCCUUUGUGAUGAAGGCUCAAGAAGACAGUUGGCUCAUCUACUGGCUAGUUUGGGGUCAACUUGACACAAGCUAGAGUCAUCAGAGAGGAAGAAGCCUCAGUUGAGGAAAUGCCUCCCUGAGAUCCGGCUGUAAGGCAUCCUCUCAGUUAAUGAUCAAUGGGAGAGGGCCCAGUCCAUUGUGGGUCCAUCCCUGGUUCAGCCCAGUCUAUCCAUGGGCUGAUGGGCCUGUUUUUUCUUUAAGAAAGCAGACUGAGCAAGCCAGUAAGCAGCACCCCUCCAUGGCCUCUACAUCAGCUCCUGCCUCCAGGAUCCUGCCCCGUUAGAAUUUUUGCCCUGAUUUCUUCCAAUAACGAACAGCAAUGUGGAAGUGUAAGCUGAAUAAGCCCUUGGUCAUUGUUUCAUUGCAGCAAUAGAAACCCUAAAAUGAGACAGGUCACUUCAGCAUCAGUGAUGUGGAGCUGUCCUGCUAACCAUCUUUAUAUGCUAGUUAGCCAUGCUGGUCUGUGGUCGUGUCGCAAAUAAACGCUGAAUACGAGACAUCAGAAACAAGGAACCAUGUGACUGGGAGCCAAGGAAAGAAGCAAAUCUCUCCUUAGAGCCGGGAACCCAUCCAACCUCUCCUCCAGCAGGUUCCCCAGAAAUGAGAGUCAUUUGUGAGCAAUGCCAGAUGCUGGGUUGCAACCUGCAAACAUUCUCUAAGAUAACCUCCCAGAACUGGCCAUGUUUGGCCCGGAGGCCAUGCAAGCAUUGUAUAUUCAGAGCUGGACUCAAGGAUUCACAUACGAGGGAAAAUAAAACGGUGUUUUUCCAA
Molecule: long non-coding RNA, 3433 nt
Organism: Mus musculus (house mouse)
Lineage: Eukaryota; Metazoa; Chordata; Mammalia; Rodentia; Muridae
Product: predicted gene, 35608
Exons: 2
Source: RefSeq, a predicted model, not a curated record